This 497-nucleotide ribosomal RNA is filed under the name uncultured bacterium. RNAcentral describes it as "partial 16S ribosomal RNA". It matches the Rfam family "Bacterial small subunit ribosomal RNA", at positions 28 to 507 of the family's 1533-position model. The record is from RNAcentral.
GAUGAACGCUGGCGGCGUGCCUAAUACAUGCAAGUCGAGCGAACAGACGAGGAGCUUGCUCCUCUGACGUUAGCGGCGGACGGGUGAGUAACACGUGGAUAACCUACCUAUAAGACUGGGAUAACUUCGGGAAACCGGAGCUAAUACCGGAUAAUAUAUUGAACCGCAUGGUUCAAUAGUGAAAGACGGUUUUGCUGUCACUUAUAGAUGGAUCCGCGCCGCAUUAGCUAGUUGGUAAGGUAACGGCUUACCAAGGCAACGAUGCGUAGCUGACCUGAGAGAGUGAUCGGCCACACUGGAACUGAGACACGGUCCAGACUCCUACGGGAGGCAGCAGUAGGGAAUCUUCCGCAAUGGGCGAAAGCCUGACGGAGCAACGCCGCGUGAGUGAUGAAGGUCCUCGGAUCGUAAAACUCUGUUAUUAGGGAAGAACAAAUGUGUAAGUAACUAUGCACGUCGUGACGGUACCGAAUCAGAAAGCCACGGCUAACUACGUG